UACGAAGGGGGCUAGCGUUGUUCGGAAUCACUGGGCGUAAAGGGCGCGUAGGCGGCUUUAUAAGUCGGGGGUGAAAGCCUGUGGCUCAACCACAGAAUUGCCUUCGAUACUGUAUGGCUUGAGACCGGGAGAGGGAUGCGGAAUUCCAGGUGUAGCGGUGAAAUGCGUAGAUAUCAAGAGGAACACCUGAGGUGAAGACGGGUUGCUGGGCUGACACUGACGCUGAGGCACGAAAGCUAGGGUAGCAAACGGG
This 253-nucleotide ribosomal RNA is filed under the name uncultured bacterium. RNAcentral's name for it is "partial 16S ribosomal RNA". It matches the Rfam family "Bacterial small subunit ribosomal RNA", at positions 524 to 776 of the family's 1533-position model. The record is from RNAcentral.